Molecule: transfer RNA, 76 nt
Filed under: Parasphingopyxis marina
Lineage: Bacteria; Pseudomonadati; Pseudomonadota; Alphaproteobacteria; Sphingomonadales; Parasphingopyxidaceae
Description: tRNA-Arg
Rfam family: tRNA
About the family: Transfer RNA (tRNA) molecules are approximately 80 nucleotides in length.
Source: RNAcentral
GCACCACUGGCAGGGCCAGAUACAGGCUGCCCUCCGAAGGCAGAGGCCACAGGUUCGAAUCCUGUCGGGUGCGCCA